This 1973-nucleotide ribosomal RNA is filed under the name Escherichia coli 1-176-05_S1_C3. Its description in RNAcentral is "bacterial LSU rRNA". It matches the Rfam family "Bacterial large subunit ribosomal RNA", at positions 972 to 2925 of the family's 2925-position model. Lineage: Bacteria; Pseudomonadati; Pseudomonadota; Gammaproteobacteria; Enterobacterales; Enterobacteriaceae. The record is from RNAcentral.
UUAUCACGGGAGACACACGGCGGGUGCUAACGUCCGUCGUGAAGAGGGAAACAACCCAGACCGCCAGCUAAGGUCCCAAAGUCAUGGUUAAGUGGGAAACGAUGUGGGAAGGCCCAGACAGCCAGGAUGUUGGCUUAGAAGCAGCCAUCAUUUAAAGAAAGCGUAAUAGCUCACUGGUCGAGUCGGCCUGCGCGGAAGAUGUAACGGGGCUAAACCAUGCACCGAAGCUGCGGCAGCGACACUAUGUGUUGUUGGGUAGGGGAGCGUUCUGUAAGCCUGCGAAGGUGUGCUGUGAGGCAUGCUGGAGGUAUCAGAAGUGCGAAUGCUGACAUAAGUAACGAUAAAGCGGGUGAAAAGCCCGCUCGCCGGAAGACCAAGGGUUCCUGUCCAACGUUAAUCGGGGCAGGGUGAGUCGACCCCUAAGGCGAGGCCGAAAGGCGUAGUCGAUGGGAAACAGGUUAAUAUUCCUGUACUUGGUGUUACUGCGAAGGGGGGACGGAGAAGGCUAUGUUGGCCGGGCGACGGUUGUCCCGGUUUAAGCGUGUAGGCUGGUUUUCCAGGCAAAUCCGGAAAAUCAAGGCUGAGGCGUGAUGACGAGGCACUACGGUGCUGAAGCAACAAAUGCCCUGCUUCCAGGAAAAGCCUCUAAGCAUCAGGUAACAUCAAAUCGUACCCCAAACCGACACAGGUGGUCAGGUAGAGAAUACCAAGGCGCUUGAGAGAACUCGGGUGAAGGAACUAGGCAAAAUGGUGCCGUAACUUCGGGAGAAGGCACGCUGAUAUGUAGGUGAAGUCCCUCGCGGAUGGAGCUGAAAUCAGUCGAAGAUACCAGCUGGCUGCAACUGUUUAUUAAAAACACAGCACUGUGCAAACACGAAAGUGGACGUAUACGGUGUGACGCCUGCCCGGUGCCGGAAGGUUAAUUGAUGGGGUCAGCGCAAGCGAAGCUCUUGAUCGAAGCCCCGGUAAACGGCGGCCGUAACUAUAACGGUCCUAAGGUAGCGAAAUUCCUUGUCGGGUAAGUUCCGACCUGCACGAAUGGCGUAAUGAUGGCCAGGCUGUCUCCACCCGAGACUCAGUGAAAUUGAACUCGCUGUGAAGAUGCAGUGUACCCGCGGCAAGACGGAAAGACCCCGUGAACCUUUACUAUAGCUUGACACUGAACAUUGAGCCUUGAUGUGUAGGAUAGGUGGGAGGCUUUGAAGUGUGGACGCCAGUCUGCAUGGAGCCGACCUUGAAAUACCACCCUUUAAUGUUUGAUGUUCUAACGUUGACCCGUAAUCCGGGUUGCGGACAGUGUCUGGUGGGUAGUUUGACUGGGGCGGUCUCCUCCUAAAGAGUAACGGAGGAGCACGAAGGUUGGCUAAUCCUGGUCGGACAUCAGGAGGUUAGUGCAAUGGCAUAAGCCAGCUUGACUGCGAGCGUGACGGCGCGAGCAGGUGCGAAAGCAGGUCAUAGUGAUCCGGUGGUUCUGAAUGGAAGGGCCAUCGCUCAACGGAUAAAAGGUACUCCGGGGAUAACAGGCUGAUACCGCCCAAGAGUUCAUAUCGACGGCGGUGUUUGGCACCUCGAUGUCGGCUCAUCACAUCCUGGGGCUGAAGUAGGUCCCAAGGGUAUGGCUGUUCGCCAUUUAAAGUGGUACGCGAGCUGGGUUUAGAACGUCGUGAGACAGUUCGGUCCCUAUCUGCCGUGGGCGCUGGAGAACUGAGGGGGGCUGCUCCUAGUACGAGAGGACCGGAGUGGACGCAUCACUGGUGUUCGGGUUGUCAUGCCAAUGGCACUGCCCGGUAGCUAAAUGCGGAAGAGAUAAGUGCUGAAAGCAUCUAAGCACGAAACUUGCCCCGAGAUGAGUUCUCCCUGACCCUUUAAGGGUCCUGAAGGAACGUUGAAGACGACGACGUUGAUAGGCCGGGUGUGUAAGCGCAGCGAUGCGUUGAGCUAACCGGUACUAAUGAACCGUGAGGCUUAACCUU